This is a long non-coding RNA of Cavia porcellus (domestic guinea pig), 1386 nucleotides long. RefSeq lists it as uncharacterized. The transcript has 2 exons. NCBI's taxonomy places the organism in Eukaryota, Metazoa, Chordata, Mammalia, Rodentia, Caviidae. The record is from RefSeq and is a predicted model, not a curated record.
GUAGAAUGAGAUGAGCACACGUUGAGCGGGAAUGCACCGGAGGUGGUCACCCCUCUCUGGAAAUCAACCUCAGUCGUGGACUUCCAGCCUCCAGAAUGGGGAGAAAUGAAUUUCUUGUUGAAGCCACUUACUCUGAGGUAUUCUGGUAUGACAGUCCCAGCACAUCAAUGCAUCUCUUUGGAUCCUUCAUCUUGUAAAGCUUCUUUUUUUUAUUAGCAAAUGCUGGCAUGCAGAAUAUUAAAUUCAUCCGGGGGACCGGCAUGCACACAUUGCAUCCGAGUCAUUUUUACUUUCUCUUGCCGUCCCCUCCCUCCUGUCUCUCCCCAUCCUCAGAUUCCCAUCCCAUCCCAGUAAAUCUGCCCCCUUCUUCCCUGUGAUCUAUAUUUUAUUGGGUUUUUCUCUUCAAGUUAUUUUCCUUGUUAAACAAUGUGCACUUCAGGAAGGCGUGGCUGCUCCCUGUGCAGGGGCCAGGCUGGUCUCCGAAUUGCUGCUGUUUCUGUAUCCAUGCUGCUGAAGCAGCGCUCUCCUUGGAGAUCGCAGGACCUCAACUCUCCCAGACGUUUCUAACAAGCUGGCUUUCCUGGUCUCCAGGUCUUGCUGCUGCCCUGGCCACCCCUCUCCCUGCAGGACACUUGAGAGUGGCCACGGCGUUUGCAUGGAGUGCGGCCCGAGACAGCCAGCAUUUCUGCACAGCCCUCUUGGGCUUCUUACAGGUUCAAGGACAUCCAUUUAUUUAUAUUGCAUUCUCUGUCACUCUGAGGAAGUUAUCAGGCAAUAGAAGAAGCUUAAAAACCAGUGGCAUCUGUGGGGACGAACGAAGAAUGUGAAGAAGAGGAAUAUUGCUCUCAUCCUUCCUUUUCCUGUUUGCUGGUGGAACUUUUCUCCCUGAAUAGAACGGGCCCAAGUGUGUAGGGCUCUUGAGGGUUCCCACGCGCCCAGUUUUUCAGAACUGUGCUGGUCCGCGUGCUACCGCUGGCCACGUCACCAUGGAGCACUUUGAAUGUGGUCACUCUACCUGAAGCCCCGCACUGUUCGUGUUCCUGAAUUUUAAUUUGCUAUGUGUGUACCGGAGAUUUCCAUCGUCACAGACAGUUCUGCUCAGACAGUGGCUGUUCCUGGAGUGACUGGUCAGUAAUUUUGUUCCAGAACUGUUUCUCGUACUGUACUGAAGACUCAGUUUGUCCUCAACAGAUCAAUUUGUAAAACAAAGAAUGCCGUGCGUGGACCACACAGCUGCCCUCUUAUUCAGCUCUUACCAGCACUGGCCCAGAACGUUCCCUCCUGCGUUCUGAGUCAUUCUGCCUAUGUUUACCCUUAGAAUUUGUAUUUAUUUCCUUCUAAUAUAAUUAAAUGAAAGUACCCUAAUUUCAGGAAAUAUUUCUCUAA